RNAcentral lists this ribosomal RNA (1346 nucleotides) under uncultured bacterium. Its description in RNAcentral is "bacterial SSU rRNA". It matches the Rfam family "Bacterial small subunit ribosomal RNA", at positions 28 to 1381 of the family's 1533-position model. The record is from RNAcentral.
GACGAACGCUGGCGGCGUGCUUAACACAUGCAAGUCGAACGGAAAGGCCCUGCUUUUGUGGGGUGCUCGAGUGGCGAACGGGUGAGUAACACGUGAGUAACCUGCCCUUGACUUUGGGAUAACUUCAGGAAACUGGGGCUAAUACCGGAUAGGAGCUCCUGCUGCAUGGUGGGGGUUGGAAAGUUUCGGCGGUUGGGGAUGGACUCGCGGCUUAUCAGCUUGUUGGUGGGGUAGUGGCUUACCAAGGCUUUGACGGGUAGCCGGCCUGAGAGGGUGACCGGCCACAUUGGGACUGAGAUACGGCCCAGACUCCUACGGGAGGCAGCAGUGGGGAAUAUUGCACAAUGGGCGGAAGCCUGAUGCAGCAACGCCGCGUGCGGGAUGACGGCCUUCGGGUUGUAAACCGCUUUCGCCUGUGACGAAGCGUGAGUGACGGUAAUGGGUAAAGAAGCACCGGCUAACUACGUGCCAGCAGCCGCGGUGAUACGUAGGGUGCGAGCGUUGUCCGGAUUUAUUGGGCGUAAAGGGCUCGUAGGUGGUUGAUCGCGUCGGAAGUGUAAUCUUGGGGCUUAACCCUGAGCGUGCUUUCGAUACGGGUUGACUUGAGGAAGGUAGGGGAGAAUGGAAUUCCUGGUGGAGCGGUGGAAUGCGCAGAUAUCAGGAGGAACACCAGUGGCGAAGGCGGUUCUCUGGGCCUUUCCUGACGCUGAGGAGCGAAAGCGUGGGGAGCGAACAGGCUUAGAUACCCUGGUAGUCCACGCUGUAAACGGUGGGUACUAGGUGUGGGGUCCAUUCCACGGGUUCCGUGCCGUAGCUAACGCUUUAAGUACCCCGCCUGGGGAGUACGGCCGCAAGGCUAAAACUCAAAGGAAUUGACGGGGCCCCGCACAAGCGGCGGAGCAUGCGGAUUAAUUCGAUGCAACGCGUAGAACCUUACCUGGGUUUGACAUGGAUCGGGAGUGCCCAGAGAUGGGUGUGCCUCUUUUGGGGUCGGUUCACAGGUGGUGCAUGGCUGUCGUCAGCUCGUGUCGUGAGAUGUUGGGUUAAGUCCCGCAACGAGCGCAACCCUUGUUCACUGUUGCCAGCACGUUAUGGUGGGGACUCAGUGGAGACCGCCGGGGUCAACUCGGAGGAAGGUGGGGAUGACGUCAAGUCAUCAUGCCCCUUAUGUCCAGGGCUUCACGCAUGCUACAAUGGCUGGUACAGAGAGUGGCGAGCCUGUGAGGGUGAGCGAAUCUCGGAAAGCCGGUCUCAGUUCGGAUUGGGGUCUGCAACUCGACCUCAUGAAGUCGGAGUCGCUAGUAAUCGCAGAUCGGCAACGCUGCGGUGAAUACGUUCCCGGGGCU